RNAcentral lists this ribosomal RNA (429 nucleotides) under Chloroflexota bacterium. Its description in RNAcentral is "Chloroflexi bacterium partial 16S ribosomal RNA". It matches the Rfam family "Bacterial small subunit ribosomal RNA", at positions 355 to 776 of the family's 1533-position model. The record is from RNAcentral. Lineage: Bacteria; Bacillati; Chloroflexota.
UGGGGAAUAUUGCACAAUGGGCGCAAGCCUGAUGCAGCCAUGCCGCGUGUAUGAAGAAGGCCUUCGGGUUGUAAAGUACUUUCAGUCGGGAGGAAGGUGGUAAGGUUAAUAACCUUGGCAAUUGACGUUACCGACAGAAGAAGCACCGGCUAACUCCGUGCCAGCAGCCGCGGUAAUACGGAGGGUGCAAGCGUUAAUCGGAAUUACUGGGCGUAAAGCGCACGCAGGCGGUUGAUUGAGUCAGAUGUGAAAUCCCCGGGCUUAACCCGGGAAUUGCAUCUGAUACUGGUCAGCUAGGGUCUUGUAGAGGGGGGUAGAAUUCCAUGUGUAGCGGUGAAAUGCGUAGAGAUGUGGAGGAAUACCGGUGGCGAAGGCGGCCCCCUGGACAAAGACUGACGAUCAGGUGCGAAAGCGUGGGGAGCAAACAGG